This 618-nucleotide long non-coding RNA is filed under the name Homo sapiens (human). Its description in RNAcentral is "non-protein coding lnc-HDAC11-3:1". Lineage: Eukaryota; Metazoa; Chordata; Mammalia; Primates; Hominidae. The record is from RNAcentral.
GUGGAUCCUCCCUCGAUUUGACACUAAGACGUGGGGCUUCAGGUUGGCCUGGACACAGAAGCCUGACAGUCUGUGCCUGGUGCUCCCUGGCACCACUAAACUCAUCUUUCUGCAUCCUCGCUGGGCUGUCCGCCCGAUUCCUCACAGACUGCAACCCAGACCUCUCCAGAGCUGGGCACAGGCUGGGCAUCUUCCUCAUGCUGCCAUAGCUAUCUUCGUCGUAUUCACUUAUUUUGUUUUCUGUGAACCCCAGGGAAAACCACAGCCGUGUUUCGGGCACUGCCUCCACCAGGACUCGUGAGCACAUGUGUAUUUCCAGCCUGCAGCUCCCAGUCCCCACACCCAGCUAAUUUUUUUUUUUUUUUUUUUUUUUUUUUUUUUUGUUCUUACUUUGUAGCCUGGCUCACUGGUCCUUCUUCAUGCCUCCCUGUCCUUGUCCCAUGGAUGUUUUCAUUUCAUGACAAAUAGAUGAAUAUUUGAUGAAUAUUGUGCCCUGUAUCCUCUUAAGGAGUUCAGUUAUGGGUUCCAUGGUGUCCCCCUCUUCAUAAUAAAUAUGUUGAAGUUCUAGCCUCCAGUACCUCAUGCCAUGUUCUGAUUAGAAAGUAGGGCUAUUGGCUG